Molecule: ribosomal RNA, 492 nt
Filed under: uncultured bacterium
Lineage: Bacteria
Description: partial 16S ribosomal RNA
Rfam family: Bacterial small subunit ribosomal RNA
Source: RNAcentral
AGUGAACGCUGGCGGUAGGCCUAACACAUGCAAGUCGAACGGCAGCACAGUAAGAGCUUGCUCUUACGGGUGGCGAGUGGCGGACGGGUGAGGAAUACAUCGGAAUCUACUUUUUCGUGGGGGAUAACGUAGGGAAACUUACGCUAAUACCGCAUACGACCUACGGGUGAAAGCAGGGGAUCUUCGGACCUUGCGCGAUUGAAUGAGCCGAUGUCGGAUUAGUUAGUUGGCGGGGUAAAGGCCCACCAAGGCGACGAUCCGUAGCUGGUCUGAGAGGGUGAUCAGCCACACUGGAACUGAGACACGGUCCAGACUCCUACGGGAGGCAGCAGUGGGGAAUAUUGGACAAUGGGCGCAAGCCUGAUCCAGCCAUGCCGCGUGGGUGAAGAAGGCCUUCGGGUUGUAAAGCCCUUUUGUUGGGAAAGAAAAGCAGCAGGUUAAUACCCCGCUGUUCUGACGGUACCCAAAGAAUAAGCACCGGCUAACUUCGUG